Molecule: transfer RNA, 64 nt
Filed under: Chrysomallon squamiferum (scaly-foot gastropod)
Lineage: Eukaryota; Metazoa; Mollusca; Gastropoda; Neomphalida; Peltospiridae
Description: tRNA-Cys
Source: RNAcentral
GGUUUUAUAGUUAAAAAAUAAUAUUAAAGUGCAAAUUUAAAGUUGUGAAUUUUCACUAAAACCU